RNAcentral lists this transfer RNA (73 nucleotides) under Stegodyphus mimosarum. It matches the Rfam family "tRNA". Rfam says of the family: Transfer RNA (tRNA) molecules are approximately 80 nucleotides in length. Their secondary structure includes four short double-helical elements and three loops (D, anti-codon, and T loops). Lineage: Eukaryota; Metazoa; Arthropoda; Arachnida; Araneae; Eresidae. The record is from Rfam by way of RNAcentral.
GCCUUCCUGGUGUAAUGGUCAGCACACUCGGCGCGUAAUCGAGAGGUCGGAGGUCCGAGUCCCGCCGAGGGCA